RNAcentral lists this ribosomal RNA (445 nucleotides) under uncultured bacterium. RNAcentral describes it as "partial 16S ribosomal RNA". It matches the Rfam family "Bacterial small subunit ribosomal RNA", at positions 354 to 796 of the family's 1533-position model. The record is from RNAcentral.
GUGGGGAAUAUUGGUCAAUGGGCGCAAGCCUGAACCAGCCAUGCCGCGUGCAGGAAGACGGUCCUAUGGAUUGUAAACUGCUUUUAUUUGGGAAUAAACUCCGGUACGUGUACCGGCCUGAAGGUACCAAAUGAAUAAGCACCGGCUAACUCCGUGCCAGCAGCCGCGGUAAUACGGAGGGUGCAAGCGUUAUCCGGAAUCAUUGGGUUUAAAGGGUCCGCAGGCGGUCUUAUAAGUCAGUGGUGAAAGCCUACAGCUCAACUGUAGAACUGCCAUUGAUACUGUAGGACUUGAAUUCGAUCGAAGUGGGCGGAAUGUGACAUGUAGCGGUGAAAUGCUUAGAUAUGUCACAGAACACCGAUAGCGAAGGCAGCUCACUAGGUCUGGAUUGACGCUCAGGGACGAAAGCGUGGGGAGCAAACAGGAUUAGAAACCCGAGUAGUCC